Myodes glareolus (Bank vole) is the source of this 1906-nucleotide non-coding RNA. The record is from RefSeq and is a predicted model, not a curated record. Lineage: Eukaryota; Metazoa; Chordata; Mammalia; Rodentia; Cricetidae.
UCCUGGUUUCCAGCGCUUGGCAUUUGCUCCCCCUGAAUCCCCGAGAGACCCGGCUGACCCCCCAUCAAGUGGGAAAGCUGUACGGGGACCAGGAGCUGGCGCCUGAGCUGAGCCAGCCCUACUUUUCCCUCCUACGUCCCUGAGGCCUCCUCUGGGGAGGUGGGGAGGGUGGGGGGCCCUGCAGCCCCUGUCUGCAAAGCAAGCAGAAUUAACUCGGUCACUCCUGGCCUGGCUCUCCAAAUGUCACUUAGUAACAAUUAGGUAAUUAGGGGGAGGUAGGUUCCCUGAAAAUUAGCCCAGGAUUUGGGGCAUAAAGGACCGCAGGGGGCCAGGGGAGACCAAAGCUGGCGUUGUUUACCAAAGCUGUCCCUCCUCACCUCUGUGUUCCUUCCAACUAAUCAACCACCCGGAACUCUCGCUGCAGCCACGGCCUGGGAACUUUCAAAGGCUCCCAAGAGCCUCUCACCCCCCAGACCUGCCUCGUCUUUCCAUGUUGUUUGCUGGGGCGGUUCUUCAUCUUCAAAGCCAGUGCAGCCUGUGUAAAUCAGCGCCCGGCUCAUGCUGCCACGCUCGUAAGAAAUCUGCGACUGUGUCACACCUGCCAAGUCCUUGUCAUGGAGGUCACAACUUCAAGUGGGACAGCCUUCAACACAUGGAGGCCGAUUCCAGAAAGCUCAUUGCCUUGGCGCUUGUUGCUGUUGUUCUGUCCGGUCUGUGCAAACCGUAAGAAGAGCAGCAUAGAAGAUGGGGAAGAGAAGGUGACCCAGGUCUGGCAGGAGAGAGGCCAUGAUGGGAAGGAGAGCUCAGUCUCCCAUGGCCACUGCAUGGAUUCCAGAGUCUGUUUUUCCACCACUACGGUACAGUUCUUUUUUGUGGUCAGCACCACAAGGACCCUUGCCCAGCUGGCAGGAGCAAAACACCGGAGACCAUCACAAAGGUUGGUUGACUUGCCCAAUAGACCAUGAUGGGAUCCUAAGAGACCUCUCUCCACUGCCUGCAUCACGACCUCUCGCUGUUCUUCUCUGGAGGUUGAAAACUGGGACAGUAUCUGCUUCGUGGGAUGUCAAAGAAGUCUCUCCAACCCUCUCUUUUUGUCUCCUUCCACUGAGUCAUUUACACUGAGAAACUGGGGGAACUGGGCACUGUGCCCAUGCCUGUAAUUCUAGUACUUAGAAGGCAAAAGCACAAAGACACAGAGCCUAGAAACACCCUGUCUCAGAAAACACACACACACACACACACACACACACACACACACACACACACACACACGCACCGUUCCUUGAGAAACCAGAGAACUCAGCAACAAUGACUAUGUCCUCAUGUGGGGCAGUCGCUACUAUGUGACUGAGGAACGUGCAUAGUUUUUUGGCUCGUCCAUGCCAUGUUCACCCAUCAUGUAGGUGUGCCCACCUGCCAGGACACUGUUGUUAGAUAAAUUAAUGUGUAACCCCUGAUUCUUGGCCAGAAACAAUGGGAAAUUAUCAAAAACAAACAAACAAACAAACCUUAGGCAGAGUACUUGCCCAAGAUUCCAAAACAAAGACAAAAGCAGGCUGGGAGAAUGUUCUGGAUGCUUAGGGGAAGGUUUAACUGUCAAAACUUGUUUGACUCACAGACACUCUGCUUUCAUCUCCCAUGUUUGACUCUACACAGACCAUCCCGGAGUUUUGGGUUCAGGCCCGGUAUGUUUGGGUCAAGUCUAGUCCAUCUAACCUGUCUGGUUACAUCCAAGGUCUUUAAAAAUGCUAAUGGUGAUGCGAAGGCUAGCCAAGAAACACCUUUCCAAGUAUAACGAGGCACAAGCGCUCUUAUUGGCUGCUCAAGUGAGAGAAAUAAACUGAAAUGCACACAAAACCACAAGCUCUACGGCAGGAGUUGGCAAACUACCGCCCUCCCCCCCCAU